Molecule: ribosomal RNA, 253 nt
Filed under: uncultured bacterium
Lineage: Bacteria
Description: partial 16S ribosomal RNA
Rfam family: Bacterial small subunit ribosomal RNA
Source: RNAcentral
UACGUAGGUGGCAAGCGUUGUCCGGAUUUAUUGGGCUUAAAGGGUGCGUAGGCGGCCCCAUAAGUCAGUGCUGAAAUACUCUAGCUCAACUAGAGGGGUGGCAUUGAUACUGCGGGGCUUGAGUGGAGUCGAGGUAGGCGGAAUUGACGGUGUAGCGGUGAAAUGCUUAGAUAUCGUCAAGAACACCGAUAGUGUAGACAGCUUACUAGGCUUCAACUGACGCUGAGGCACGAAAGUGUGGGGAUCAAACAGG